AUAUAUAUGGAUAAAAACAUUGAUAAAGAAGUAAAUGAACUGCAGAGUAUAUAGGAGUAUGCAGAAAGGAAAGAAACGAGUCGGCAAAACUGUGUGCAGACCUCUAUUUCUCAAUCAACUUACUAAUCCCAAGGCAAACCGAGGCAGGGACUCUUAAAUGUAGCUUGUUUUCUCGAUAGACAUCACGUACCAGGAUGAUAGUUCUACUAAUAACACACCACUACUAAGGUACUAGAAUGAUGACAAUUCACCACUACUAGAAAACCUAAUGCAGCAAACAUGAAAUUGCUUUUCGAUGGGAGUCCACGAAUCUCAACAACCACAAAGACGUCCCGCCAAAUGAAUGGUAGACUCCUGUUGAAUUUUGUAGUCGGCCAGGGUACGGUGGUCC
Molecule: long non-coding RNA, 391 nt
Filed under: Hordeum vulgare
Lineage: Eukaryota; Viridiplantae; Streptophyta; Magnoliopsida; Poales; Poaceae
Description: long non-coding RNA (HVUL_LNC008276)
Source: RNAcentral